AACGCAUAUUGCACUCUCUGGUAUUCCGGAGAGUAUGCCUGUUUCAGCAUCAGAAAUCUCACUCGACCUAUCCUUCUUUGGAAGAGGUCGGAUCUGGGCAUCUUGCAUGUAAAGCCUUAUGUGCUUGCCUGAAAUUCAAUCGUGGAACGCCUAAAGAAAGCCAAAUCCAAAAAGGUGUCAUAGUUGGAUUAACAAAUCCAUCUUUCACCGAAUUUGUGCUGAUAGGUUUGUCUGUCUGCGUUCUGCUGCUCUUCUGGGAGCAGCAGAAAAAAAAACCUUUUCAAUUUGAUCUGAAAUCAGGUAGGAUUACCCGCUGAACUUAA
This 323-nucleotide unclassified non-coding RNA is filed under the name uncultured fungus. RNAcentral's name for it is "partial contains 5.8S ribosomal RNA, internal transcribed spacer 2, and large subunit ribosomal RNA". Lineage: Eukaryota; Fungi. The record is from RNAcentral.